Long non-coding RNA from Scatophagus argus, 1760 nucleotides. RefSeq lists it as uncharacterized. Lineage: Eukaryota; Metazoa; Chordata; Actinopteri; Scatophagidae. The record is from RefSeq and is a predicted model, not a curated record. The transcript has 12 exons.
GUGUCAAAAAGGGCUGCAAGUAUGUCUCCGUUAAUUUCAGAACAGAUUAAUCUCAAAAUCUUUACACAUUAUCGGGUCAAUAUCAGCUUGAUGCGCUUAGAUUGUGUUCAGACGUGCUUUUGCUCUGAAAACCGGAAGUAUUUUUGUUUACUGCGCAACGGUGAGGACACCUGAGUGUUCCGUCUAAAGGUCCAAAGAGUUUGAGCAUCACUUAACACACAGUUACCAGAACAGAACAGAACAGGUGUACUUCACAGCCCUCUGAAGCAAAGCCCAGCCUGCAGGAGACAGGUUCCUCCACAAGGACCAAGAUUGUCAUAGUGCCUCCGACUGCCACAGUGCAGCUCCUUGGCGUUGGUCUCGUCCAGGCAGUGUGAAGUCGGCGGCGACACAAGGAGACUGAGAACGAGAUCGUUUUGCUUCAGGUCCGACGAGCUCCGCCCUCCGUUUACUCACCACUAAAGAAGAGAAGGAUCAUCAAAGCCCUGACAGUCACACAAGGGUGCAGCUCCUGCCCAGCAGAGGCAGCACUGAUGUCGGCUUGGCUCGCUGCGUCCACCUCUGUUUUCUGGACCUGCUGGCCGUCACUUGACAACGUAGACGGAUGUCUGUCCAAUGACAAAGAGGCGUCGACUGAAGCAGCGGCACCUGGUCCUGCUGUGCUGGACUGAGACGGGGUGGACCCACCAGGGCCACUGGUUUGCACAGCAGGCUGUGACCUAUCAUCUGAAGGUUCAGACGGAGGAGGCCGGCUCCGAUGUGACACUGCCGGAGGCUGAGCUUUAACUGUGAAGUGGAACCUGGAAAGAAACUGGAGUUGUAUUUCUUCAACACCUGUGUCACACCGCUGGAGUCGGCCAUUUCAAAACAUAUCUGAGGUGGAGCGACGGGGCAGGAUGCCGACAAAAGUCGCGAUGGACGCCACCUCCUGCAUGACCAUCUUCACCACUUUCAUGGACACCUUGGAAACAUCCACACACAGCAGUCUGUCCUCCAGAGACUCUGGCUCUAGAACUCCCUGAAGACCAAGAAAUAGCUGGUGGUAAGGAGCAGUGACCCAAAGGGAGCUGAAUUUCACUUGACAAAAGAUUUACAGAAAUGCCCAGGUGUCCUCUGGAGUUUUUCUUCAGUGUCCAUACCUCGCUGUAUUCAGGAUUCAUCUGUUGUAAGACAAAGUGGACGCUGAGUUUGCACCCCCUGACAGAAACCGGAUUUGCGAUGUGAUCUCGGACAAAAUCGCAGCAUGAAGUCCAGUCAGCGAAAAACACGAAGGCCUGGAGUUCAUCAGAUGCAUGCAGAUCCAGAGUGUUUCUCCAGUUCCCAAGGAAAAUAAACGCAGCAUCUCCAACGCAUCCUCCAGUACCAUUUGGCAUGCAGUCUUUUUAGUUACUCCCUACAACAGAGACUUACGCAGUGUUGAGCCGAACGGCGCCUUCAGCCUGUGGACCUCGUAUCUGGGGACGUGUUUCAGGAGACUGUACCAGACCCCGAGCCGAUCAGCAUCAUAAACAGACUUAAACUCGAUGAACACCUGAAACACAACAUGCAAACGCAGCAGAGGACCUCGAUGGCCUUUACCACAGAGAUCAGCGUCUUCUUAACUUGGAGGAGGCAUACAGUCCAGGCUGGGCUUUGCUUUAGAGGGCCCUGAAGUCAAGUCCUUCUUUGGUGUAGAAGAGGAGGAUGACUUCAUCUUGGCAAGCUCAGCCAGUAAGGCAGGAGCCAGAGUUUUAACCACAGCCUCCAGGUCAGACUGUUUU